This 1061-nucleotide long non-coding RNA is filed under the name Canis lupus familiaris (dog). RNAcentral describes it as "lncRNA (ENSCAFG00805001137.1, ENSCAFG00845012462.1)". Lineage: Eukaryota; Metazoa; Chordata; Mammalia; Carnivora; Canidae. The record is from RNAcentral.
AUGUGUCUGUGGUCCCAGAGAGUGGUCCCCUUCCAGGCAGAGGAGGAGUUCCCUGAGCGGUUAGGUCAAGCGGAUUCCCAGCACCUGUUCCAGUUCUUGCCUUCGCUGCUGCACCUUGGCAAAGAUGUGCUUCCCCACUGCUUCCUGGGCCCAGGGCUGGUGGUAGAAAGCAGCUCGUCUCUCCUCCCCAGGAUUCCCAAUCACAUCAGUGAUGAUCUUGAGGUCUCGGCGCUGAGAACAGAGCCAUUCCUGGAUGAAGUCCUGAGGGUCCGUGCUAAAGCUGAGCAUGAAAUCCCUCUGGGUCUUCAGCUGGUUGAUGGACUCAAUGGUCUCAUGGAUCUCGACAUCGAGGGAGGCAAUCUCCUGCUGAUUGGUGGUAGAGGCCAGAAAAUUGCUCAUCUGGGCCUUGAGUGGGUCAUCUACCUCCACAUCAAUGUCGUAGCAUGCUGUCUUCUUCUGGUUGUUAGGGUCUACGCUAAUGACAUGGUUGAUGACAAUGGGGUCUGGAUGCUGCAGCAACCCAGCCAGCUUCAUGGGAAUCUCAGAGAAACGAAGUCGGCCACAACUGAAGAUCUGGCGGAAGUAACGGUUGCAAUUGAUGUACUCGUGCUCGUGCCCGUCCUGCAGUUGGUUGUGUUUGAUAUAAAGCCAAAGAGCCUGCAUGAUGGCCGCCCUUGUCUGUGUGUGCACCCCCAGCAGCCUUGCCAGUCGGGGGUCCAACUUGUACUGGGGAGGAUCAUCCAGCAGUUUUCCCUCCACUCGGAGUUCCCAGGAAGCCACCUUGUCCCCUGCAGGGGUUCCCCCAGGGGGCCCCGCGGUGCCCGCAGUAUCGCCUUCUGCCUUGCUGGGACUGAACGUAUUGGAAGUAUAGAUGCGCAGCUUCCGUUUUUGCGUCAGAGGCUUUUUGAUGGCCAGAGAAUGGAUUUAAACGUGAGUCUGACUAGAGCCUGACCACUUAACCAUAUUGCUUGUUUUUUUUUUUUUUAAGUUUAAGCAAUAUUCUUUUACUAUAUAUAUUUACUGAUCUAAUACUAACAUUAACACACUGUAUUCACUGUAUU